ACUAUUUUGAGAAUAGAACUCCAGUUCUGGCUCAUUUUUCUCUCUGUUAGCCGCACUCAUCAGGCAGACUGCUGCUUCUUUUCUUUGAGAGGUGGUUGCUGAACAAACAAGAAGAAAAGUGGGGGAACAAAGAUCUGAACUAGAUUUCGGCUUAAGCCACAAACUUUCCCCAAAUGCAUAGCCAUUCUUGAAUGAGCUCCAUUUCAGAGCCAUCAAUGUUCUCUCACAGUCAACCAGGACAGCCUGAGUCAGAAAGAUGGAUUCCAGAACUCCUUCUGACCCUGGGAAGAUGAUUUCCCUGCUGUCUUUUCCUAAUCCUCGAUUGCCAUAUAGGCAGUUGUUUGGGAGAGAGACCUGUAAACAGCUCCUGGGAAGGGAGAGAAGAUGAUAUUGGGCCCUUUCAGAUCUCUUCCAGAACCACAAAUAGAUCUCCUGGACCUGUGCAGAGAACAGAACCAGCUGUCUCUUCAACAGCAUCCCCAGCAACCCACAGCCUUGAUGGAUGGCUCUCUUCAGACGCAGCAAGAGCACAAUAUUCCACAACUGUCCUGCCAAAGUGUCUCAACUGUGUGCUUCAUUCACUCUCCAUGAUUAUCAAAUCCUUGAAGACUGCCAACAAAGAGGGGAGGGGAUAAAAUGGGGCUCAACUAGGACCACACAUCCCCCACCACCACCCAAACCUGUGCUGCGAGAUCGUCCCCACACAUUCCAGGUGGUGCCUCCUGUCCCUGCGACGUGGUGGUGGAGGAAAAUUGCAGGGAAGAACCAGCCAGAGACUCCAGCCAAAGGAACAGCUGAAGAUGCAGGCAAAGCUAGGAUCUCCAGACAUUCAGGGAAUGUUCUACAAUUUUUCCUGCACUGUGUCUGCCCUUAGCUGAUUGACUGUUUCCUCCAGUUCUGCCCCUCCCACACAAUCUCUUCAUCUCAGUUUUACUCCACACCUGACCCUCUUACCCACUUCUCCUAUGCCCUGUUGUCCUCCUCCCACUCCCCCUUGCACUCCACAUUCCCUCUCCAUUCAGUUUUCUUUCCAUUUAGCUUAUCCCCUCCUAACUAAACCCCAUCCACCCCCCAAAAAAUCAUGGAACUAACAUGAUGUUUUCGGCCAUCACAUUGUUCGCUCUGAUUGUGUGUUCUAUCACUUCUCCUACUCUGUGUCUGUCUUCUCUAUUAAAUUUAGAUUUUAGAUUGUAAGCUCUCUGGUGUGGGGACCGUCUAUUCUGUAUGCUUAGUACAAUGAAGCACCAUUCUUGGCUGGUUCUUAGGAACUGCUGUAAUGAACAUGAUUAACCAUACAACAUGCUUUUACCUGAUCACUGUGCACUGUCUCCAUUCUCCAGUGGGGGCAAAUGGGCAUGAGGUGUUAAACUGAAGCAUGAACCUACAGGUACUAGUACAGAUGGAUACAAACCUGAAGGAAAGAAAAAAACAAGUACAUUUUUAUAUGAAACUGUGUUGGAUACCACUCUCAGCCCGCUUACUGGGGAUAUUUACAAAUUAGGAGAGUUCGUGGAAUUUGCUCACUUUUUUCAGGUAAUUUUAAUAUGUGUUGCAUAGGUGACUCAAAGAAACUGAAAUUCUGCCACAUCUGCUUAGAUUCACUCCUACAGAGGAGAAUUUGCCUGUGGCUGCUUGAUAAACAUUUAAAUCAGUGUUUUCUGACUUAAAAAAACCUAUUUGAACACUACCAAUGGCAAGCACUGAUUAGAUUCAAAAUAGGGGGUUUAAAAAACAAGCAAACAGAAAAUGAAGUUUUAAAGGGGACUUUACUGAGCAAGGCUACAAUUAAACUGUUCUGUAAACUAGCAAGAUAAAUAGUAUUAAAGAGCUUUGGGCUGAGGAUCUAGAUAAUCAAAUAACCAACAUAUUAUCAAAGGAAACGUGGUCCCUUUUGGGUUUUGGGUCCAGUUCAUUCCACUGCAGAAUACAAGUUGUGGCUGCAAGCAAUGGAAAGUGCAUUGGAAACAAAGGAAUAAUUCUGUUGGGGGUCCAGUUCAGCCCACAAAAUGAAAGGGCUGGAAUUUGAGGAGCAAAGCUAAAGCAUCUGGGACAUGUGCUGUUUCAGUACAUCUCCUGUAGAGCAUCCACCAGCAGAGCUCCUAGAGGCCCACAUCAGGAGUUGAACAUCACAAUCCCUUUAGAAAAGCAGUGGCACCAGAACAAGAUCCAGAUUUCUCGGUGUGACUUCUGGAGUAGAAUCAAUGCUAAAUCACUUCAAUGGGGGGCUCUUUUUACAAUAUUUCUAAGCAGGAUGACAAGUGUCUGAAAUUUUGCAAGAAAGCAUUUUGGAAAAUAUCCAGCCCAUGUGGUAGGAUUUCCAGCAUUUCAUAGACUCCAGAGCCUUCAAUAGUAUCCAAUAUACUGAUGAUUAUCUGAACUAAACCCCAAACUUCUUGAAGGUUUGACUAGAUGAGUUCUCUGAUCUUGAUUUAUGCAGAGAAAAGUACAAGAUUUUCCAGUUGUUUCUUUUUUCAAAGAUCUCUCCCCAAAUUAUAUCAUGCAUGUUACAUCUGUAUCUAAUAAAUGGACUUACUACUUCUGGUAAAUCGUUUUAUGCACACAACACAUGAGUCUUCUGAGUUGAGCUGAAAU
This is a long non-coding RNA of Mauremys mutica (yellowpond turtle), 2592 nucleotides long. RefSeq lists it as uncharacterized. The transcript is spliced from 3 exons. NCBI's taxonomy places the organism in Eukaryota, Metazoa, Chordata, Testudines, Geoemydidae. The record is from RefSeq and is a predicted model, not a curated record.